CAAAACUACAGGCCACACAAAGUGGAAACACAGUUACUAGUACAACUGUUGCUAGCCAGUGGUCAGUGUAAAUGAGUUACUCCAGGUUGCAGUCAACACAAGCUAAGGACACUCACUACAUGUAUAUACUGCAACAACACAGCAUUGGAACACGAACCUCACCCCAGAAAUAGAGGUUGCAGUCAACACACAAGCUAAGAACAUCACUAUAAUUAUACUGCAACAACACAUUGGAACACGAACCUCACACCUCACUCCCCAGAGAAAGAUCGCUAAAUGAAUUCACGUACCUUAAAGCAUUUUGUGUGCAGUAACGAUCACCCUGGAAUAAUGGACACGACCUUGACACAACCACUGAUAGAGCUAGAGCCAGAGCCAGAGCCAUCCAAAGAAGCAGAAGAUGGAUCCACACAAGACGUCACCAUCAUAGUGCCUUCAUUAACGAGGGAGCAGUCCACAGAGUCUAACAGUUACACUCCACAUCGUAAGAGAUUUAAAUCAUCUGACUCCAUUGACGAAGACGACAGUGGCACCGAGGGCACAGCAGUUUGUUUGCAGCUACCACACACGAUGUCUUCACAAACUUCACACAGUAGUUCUUCGUCAACCAGCUCAGUUUCAGCAACUGCUGCUUCUGUUACAAGAAAUAUAAGCAGAGAAAACAGCAUUCGAGAACGCUCUCUGCAAGAAAGAUCACAGGUCCCAAGAAGACGUCCGACAGCUCUGUUCCCACUAGGGAGACAAGAGUUGCGUGAGGGAGGUCAUCCUGCUGAGAUGGUGACUCCAGAGGCAACGCCAGUGAAGACGAACAAUGGCAUCAUUCAUAUCGUGGGACUGGUGACUAUCUCCCCAGUAAUACUAUGUCAUACAGACAAUAAUAAUGUACUGCAAAAUAACCCUAGGCAAUAUAGAAGAGCACAUAGUUGUUAAGCACUUUAAAAAUUUAUUUGGCGCACGUAUAAGCACAAUAAGUAUCACGAUGUUAUUACCGUGUUCAUUAAGUUAUGUUUGCAAUGAGGGGUACAUUUAGAUUCGAUUGU
This is a long non-coding RNA of Halichondria panicea, 1040 nucleotides long. RefSeq lists it as uncharacterized. Lineage: Eukaryota; Metazoa; Porifera; Demospongiae; Suberitida; Halichondriidae. The record is from RefSeq and is a predicted model, not a curated record. The transcript has 3 exons.